Molecule: ribosomal RNA, 488 nt
Filed under: uncultured bacterium
Lineage: Bacteria
Description: bacterial SSU rRNA
Rfam family: Bacterial small subunit ribosomal RNA
Source: RNAcentral
AUUGAACGCUGGCGGCAUGCCUAACACAUGCAAGUCGAACGGAAACGAUGGGAGCUUGCUCCCAGGCGUCGAGUGGCGGACGGGUGAGUAAUACUUAGGAAUCUGCCCAGUAGUGGGGGACAACAUUCGGAAACGGAUGCUAAUACCGCAUACGCACUACGGUGGAAAGUGGGGGACCUUCGGGCCUCACGCUAUUGGAUGAGCCUAAGUCGGAUUAGCUUGUUGGUGAGGUAAUAGCUCACCAAGGCGACGAUCCGUAGCUGGUCUGAGAGGACGAUCAGCCACACUGGGACUGAGACACGGCCCAGACUCCUACGGGAGGCAGCAGUGGGGAAUAUUGGACAAUGGGCGCAAGCCUGAUCCAGCAAUGCCGCGUGUGUGAAGAAGGCCUGCGGGUUGUAAAGCACUUUCAGUAGAGAAGAAAAGCCUAGGGUUAAUACCCCUGAGUCUUGACGUAACCUACAGAAGAAGCACCGGCUAACUCCGUG